This 572-nucleotide long non-coding RNA is filed under the name Phoenix dactylifera (date palm). Its description in RNAcentral is "long non-coding RNA (PDAC_LNC001535)". Lineage: Eukaryota; Viridiplantae; Streptophyta; Magnoliopsida; Arecales; Arecaceae. The record is from RNAcentral.
CCUGGUGGAGAACUGAUAUUAUUUGACUACCAAAUCCAUCAGAAAUUGGCAUCUUGCAUGGAACUUGAUUCUGCUCGUCCGAUGGUAAGGUAUAGAUAUCCUAUAAAUGAACUGUAGUGGAAGUAUUGUUGUUCCAACGCAUAACAUCAUGUUGAAAAUUCCUUGGAAUAAAUAGGCAGUGAGGAAAUUAAUGGACCAUAUCUGAAGGAUAGAUUUGAUGCAACUUCAAAACAUAUCCCAGUUCCGGUCUGUAGUCAGAAAGUCUGAUGCUCUUAGAUUUUGAAUAUCAAUAUCCAUGUUGAGAGGCAGAGGCCACCGACUAGGAGUGGUGGUAGUGAUCCCAAGGUUGAUAGAAAGAAAACACUGAUAUCAGAACCUGAAGAAGUGAUCCACUUAAAUAAAAAAAUGACUGGAAACAAGAUCAGUAUACAUUGUUUAAUUGUCCAAUUUAUGCAUCUAAUUCUCUUCAAUUUUUUCUGCAACUCUGCAGCAAAACUAUAGCUGUCUUUUUGAGUCAGUUACAACUUACAAGGUUGCAAGUAGUAAUUUCUCAAGGCACUCUUCCAAGAGGA